CACGGAGGAAGGUGGGACGACGUCAAGUCAUCAUGGCCUUAUGUCCAGGGCUACACACGUGAUACAAUGGUGCAGACAGAAGGUUGCAAGACCGUAAGGUGGAGCCAAUCCCAAACUGCACCCUAGUUCAGAUUGAGGGCUGCAAUUCGCCCUCAUGAAGCUGGAAUCGCUAGUAAUCGCAGAUCAGCAGGCUGCGGUGAAUACGUUCCCGGGCCUU
Molecule: ribosomal RNA, 217 nt
Filed under: uncultured bacterium
Lineage: Bacteria
Description: partial 16S ribosomal RNA
Rfam family: Bacterial small subunit ribosomal RNA
Source: RNAcentral